Molecule: ribosomal RNA, 305 nt
Filed under: uncultured bacterium
Lineage: Bacteria
Description: bacterial SSU rRNA
Rfam family: Bacterial small subunit ribosomal RNA
Source: RNAcentral
UCCACCUACGGGGGGCAGCAGUGGGGGAUAUUGCACAAUGGAGGAAACUCUGAUGCAGCGACGCCGCGUGAGUGAAGAGGUCAUUCGUGAUGUAAAGCUCUAUCAGCAGGGAAGAAAAUGACGGUACCUGAGUAAGAAGCCCCGGCUAACUACGUGCCAGCAGCCGCGGUAAUACGUAGGGGGCAAGCGUUAUCCGGAUUUACUGGGUGUAAAGGGAGCGUAGACGGCCAGACAAGUCUGAAGUGAAAAUCCAGCGCUUAACGUUGGAAGUGCUUUGGAAACUGCCGGGCUGGAGUGCAGGAGGG